Ruditapes philippinarum (Manila clam) is the source of this 496-nucleotide long non-coding RNA. RefSeq lists it as uncharacterized. The transcript is spliced from 2 exons. NCBI's taxonomy places the organism in Eukaryota, Metazoa, Mollusca, Bivalvia, Venerida, Veneridae. The record is from RefSeq and is a predicted model, not a curated record.
UUUAAGUUUAUAUUAUUUUCCUAUCAUAUAGACUGACGUUUCAAUUUGUUACAGAUAUUCCAGAAGAAUAUCGACGUGAAUGUGGCAUAAUAGUCAUGACAGGAAGUUCAAGUGGAUCUCAAAACGGCACAAAGAGAUGGAUGACAUUCUUCGCCUUACUUUCAGUUUUGUUGUUACUUUCGGGAAUUCUAUAUAUUUACAAGAAACGAAGUUACUGCACAAUGGACUGAAUAUGAAAUUUACAUAAAUGGUAUAUGACUGCCAAACGAUAUGCCUAAAACAGAGAAAAUAAUUUUUACAUUCUUACUUAUUUCGUACUCUUUUUUUAUUUCUGACGCACAUGUGGAGUGACGUUACUACAUUACUUAAUUUAUCUGUCAAAUGUUAAAGCUCAUAUGCAAUUGCAUUACACUAUCGAGAUAUAGCAUUUACAUGUCUUUGAAUUAAUGUUAAGCAUGCUAGAUAGGAGAUUUAAAAAUUUUAAAAUAUAGAUUUA